This 1013-nucleotide small RNA is filed under the name Pongo abelii (Sumatran orangutan). RNAcentral's name for it is "retained intron". The record is from RNAcentral. Lineage: Eukaryota; Metazoa; Chordata; Mammalia; Primates; Hominidae.
CUCCCGUGCUCCGCCCCCGGUUUUACGUUUCGCCCCCGGCAGCGCGGACAGCGGAGCCAAGAUGGCGGCCGAGUUGGAGUACGAGUCUGUGCUGUGUGUGAAGCCGGACGUCAGCGUCUACCGGAUUCCGCCCCGGGCCUCCAACCGCGGUUACAGGGCAUCUGACUGGAAAUUAGACCAGCCUGAUUGGACUGGUCGCCUCCGAAUCACUUCAAAAGGGAAGACUGCCUAUAUCAAACUCGAGGAUAAAGUUUCAGGUAAUCUUUGCAGGUGACCCUCUAACAUUAAGAAUAUUAAUUUGGUGUGCUUUUAUAAGUACCUUCAAUUUGGGGACUGGAAUGGAAAUACUAGUUGUUAAUUGGAAUUCUGGAUUUUGGCUUCCUUUACUCAAAAAAGUCUUUCUCUUAUCUGUCAGGGGAGCUCUUUGCUCAGGCACCAGUAGAACAAUAUCCUGGUAUUGCUGUGGAGACAGUGACAGAUUCCAGCCGCUACUUUGUAAUCCGGAUCCAGGAUGGUACUGGUAAGAGAACUGGGAUUUUGAGUGGAACGCAGCCAUGAAAAGUGUGUCUGAUUGCAUUUAUCUUUCUUUGGUUUACUUCAUUUUUUCUUCCCUUUCUCUAAAGUUGCUAUAGUUGCUAAAGGAAAAGUAUUAACGUGUUAUUUGUAAUAGAUAAGCACAAGUUCAAGAUGUGGUAAUUCAUAUGUAGACUUAAAUAAAUCAAAAACACAUAGCUAACAAAUGAAUUAACACAUUUUGCACUUUAGGAGGCCGAGGUGGGUGGAUCACCUGAGGUCAGGAGUUCGAGGCCAGCCUGACCAGUAUGAUGAAACCCCGUCGCUACUGAAAAUACAAAACUUAGCCAGGCGUGGUGGCAGGUGCCUGUAAUCCCAGCUACUCGGGUGGCUGAGACAGGAGAAUCGCUUGAAUUGGGGAAGUGGAGGUUGCUGAGAUCAUGCCAUUGCACUCCAGCCUGGGCAACAAGAGCGAAACUCCAUCUCAAAAAAAAAAAAAA